UACGUAGGGUGCGAGCGUUAAUCGGAAUUACUGGGCGUAAAGCGUGCGCAGGCGGUUUUGUAAGACAGAUGUGAAAUCCCCGGGCUUAACCUGGGAACUGCGUUUGUGACUGCAAUGCUAGAGUACGGCAGAGGGGGGUGGAAUUCCUGGUGUAGCAGUGAAAUGCGUAGAUAUCAGGAGGAACACCGAUGGCGAAGGCAGCCCCCUGGGCCUGUACUGACGCUCAUGCACGAAAGCGUGGGGAGCAAACAGGAUUAGAUACC
RNAcentral lists this ribosomal RNA (263 nucleotides) under uncultured bacterium. RNAcentral describes it as "partial 16S ribosomal RNA". It matches the Rfam family "Bacterial small subunit ribosomal RNA", at positions 524 to 786 of the family's 1533-position model. The record is from RNAcentral.